This 80-nucleotide transfer RNA is filed under the name Roseomonas alba. Its description in RNAcentral is "tRNA-Leu". The stretch from base 17 to 77 matches the Rfam family "tRNA". From Rfam's summary of the family: Transfer RNA (tRNA) molecules are approximately 80 nucleotides in length. Their secondary structure includes four short double-helical elements and three loops (D, anti-codon, and T loops). Lineage: Bacteria; Pseudomonadati; Pseudomonadota; Alphaproteobacteria; Acetobacterales; Roseomonadaceae. The record is from RNAcentral.
CGCAGCGAGGAUGCCAGGGGUUGUGGACCGCGGCACUCAAAAUGCCGGGGUCAGCGGUUCAAGUCCGCUCGCCGCUACCA